RNAcentral lists this transfer RNA (58 nucleotides) under Brookesia minima (minute leaf chameleon). RNAcentral's name for it is "tRNA-Ser". The record is from RNAcentral. Lineage: Eukaryota; Metazoa; Chordata; Lepidosauria; Squamata; Chamaeleonidae.
GAAAGGACCAUAAGAACUGCUAACUCAUUAGACCUGAUAUUAACCCCUCAGACCUUUC